This 385-nucleotide ribosomal RNA is filed under the name uncultured bacterium. Its description in RNAcentral is "bacterial SSU rRNA". It matches the Rfam family "Bacterial small subunit ribosomal RNA", at positions 30 to 416 of the family's 1533-position model. The record is from RNAcentral.
AUUGAACGCUGGCGGCAUGCCUUACACAUGCAAGUCGAACGGCAGCACGGGAGCAAUCCUGGUGGCGAGUGGCGAACGGGUGAGUAAUAUAUCGGAACGUGCCCAGUCGUGGGGAUAACGUAGCGAAAGCUACGCUAAUACCGCAUACGAUCUACGGAUGAAAGCGGGGGAUCGCAAGACCUCGCGCGAUUGGAGCGGCCGAUAUCAGAUUAGGUUGUUGGUGAGGUAAAAGCUCACCAAGCCGACGAUCUGUAGCUGGUUUGAGAGAACGACCAGCCACACUGGGACUGAGACACGGCCCAGACUCCUACGGGAGGCAGCAGUGGGGAAUUUUGGACAAUGGGCGAAAGCCUGAUCCAGCAAUGCCGCGUGCAGGAAGAAGGCC